ACCUGUUGAUAAGGCGAUUGAACUGUGGGGUUUUAGCAGGGAGUUUGAAGUCCUAUUUGGUGCCAAGCUCCUAAACUGAGAAGGCACAGUAGGCACACAAGUAACUAUUGUUUCUAUGCUCCAAACUUAGAUGUUCUAAGCUCUCCAUGAUUAGGAAAUAUCUAUUGUUUCUGUGCACCAAAUCCAAGUUGCAGGUACCUCCAAGUUUUUAUUUAAUGUUGUUAAUCUACUUCAAUAUCGUCUAGCUACAAGUUGAUGUGAACCUAUGAUUGUGUUAUAUAGGGCUUCAAUCCUAGCAUUGGUCACGUGUUAUGACAGUGUGGUCGAGCAUGAGAUUUGAACCACUAAUUGUGUUAUGUCGAGCUUGUAUAAGCUAUCCUUUAUUAUCUAUCCUUAUUAUCUUCAGAUACAUGUGAUCAGCGAUCAUCUAUAGAGUAAUUUGAACUCUAUGUGCUGUAGACUUUUUACUCAUAACCUCCACAUUCCUAAACUUAUGUUUUUUAAGUUUGAGAUGAUGAUGUGCUUAUGUGAAGUUAAUGCUGACAACAAUACUAUUGGAUGGUAAGCUAAGAUAUUUCAUUUUCAACUAAUAUCAUAUAGAUACUUGGUUAAUUGAGAAUUAGUCGGUUGUGUAUUGCACAACUAAGAAGCAUACAAGUGUUUAUGCCUCUGAUAUGUUUGUCACCUUUUACUGGUCUAGAAUCGAUGAAAACAUUAGCUUUCUUAGCCAUAAGAGUUUUUUGUGCUUCCUUCUAUAUCACUAUUUGUUGGGAACUUUGCGCUUUUAACUAUGGUGGAGCAAUAUGGGCAUGUCGGCGCUACAGAAAGUUGUAGCAGCGGUAGUCCACGAUGUCAACGCUGAGGGCUGGGAUCGAGGAUUGGAGGGGUGAGAGGCGGGCCCGACGACGGUGGGGGUGGGCGUGGGCGUGGAGGAGUGUUCGGUGCUGCGGGAGGUGGUGGUGGCAGCGUAGUCCAUGGCCAUGAUGAUGUGUCUCCAGCUUGAGAAGGCCGAGGUCCAAAUGGAGCUCCACCAGUUCCACUGAGUUUUGCUUAAGUCUUCUGGAUGGCACACUCCUGUCGUACCACAAAUCAGAACCAAUGCGUCAAUAGGCACCGUAGUUGAUAAUAAUAUCUGCCACCCAACAGAAUUUGAUUUCUUCCUGUGCAUCCAUGCUGGGGCCAAGGGAACAAGCCGUCCUACGCAUUACCAUGUGCUACGAGAUGACAACAAGUUCACCGCAGAUGCUCUGCAGUCUCUAACAUAUAACUUGUGCUACAU
This is an RNA transcript of Zea mays, 1279 nucleotides long. It is a transcript of the gene named argonaute 18 pseudogene, with no coding region annotated. Lineage: Eukaryota; Viridiplantae; Streptophyta; Magnoliopsida; Poales; Poaceae. The transcript has 5 exons. The record is from RefSeq and is marked validated.